UUAUAAUACUGAAGUUCUAACUAGAAACUGUGAAACCAGUUUUAGGACACUGUCAGUUGGGCAGUUUGACUGGGGCGGUCGCCUCCUAAAGAGUAACGGAGGCGCUCAAAGGUUCCCUCAGCACGGACGGAAAUCGUGCGAAGAGUGCAAAGGCAGAAGGGAGCUUGACUGCGAGACCAACAAGUCGAGCAGGAAGGAAACUUGGACUUAGUGAUCCGGUGGCACCGAGUGGAAGGGCCAUCGCUCAACGGAUAAAAGCUACCCCGGGGAUAACAGGCUUAUCUCCCCCAAGAGUCCACAUCGACGGGGAGGUUUGGCACCUCGAUGUCGGCUCGUCUCAUCCUGGAGCUGUAGCAGGUUCCAAGGGUUGGGCUGUUCGCCCAUUAAAGAGGCACGCGAGCUGGGUUCAGAACGUCGUGAGACAGUUCGGUCCCUAUCCGUCGUGGGCGUAGGAAAUUUGAAAGGAGCUGUCCCUAGUACGAGAGGACCGGGAUGGACAGACCACUGGUGUAUCAGUUGUCGUGCCAACGGCAUGGCUGAGUAGCCAAGUCUGGAAGGAAUAAGCGCUGAAGGCAUCUAAGCGCGAAGUCUCCCUUAAGAUAAGAUUUCCCAUUCGGUUAACGAAGUAAGACCCCAGGAAGACUACCUGGUAGAUAGGUCACAGGUGUAAGGGCAGCAAUGUCUUAAGCUUAGUGAUACUAAUAGGUCGAGGGCUUGACCAA
The sequence is a ribosomal RNA, 722 nucleotides long. It matches the Rfam family "Bacterial large subunit ribosomal RNA", at positions 2206 to 2925 of the family's 2925-position model. The record is from Rfam.